Molecule: unclassified non-coding RNA, 3204 nt
Filed under: Hevea brasiliensis (rubber tree)
Lineage: Eukaryota; Viridiplantae; Streptophyta; Magnoliopsida; Malpighiales; Euphorbiaceae
Source: RNAcentral
GGAGAGGAGGAAUGGGGGGGGGAGGAAUGCAAAUCAACACCAUCUUCUUCACAUCGUUUAGCUGGUCCAAGCAACAAACUACUCAAAACUCAUUGCUAGUAUCUCCUGGAAAAAUAUAAAUAAAACUUGUUCGACAACCAGUCCUCAGUCACUCGAUCCUUAUUGCACGAAUCUCUAGGUUUUCCAGCAUCCUGGGUCUCUUGUAAUUUUUUAACAGGAGGGAACACACCACCACACUGACUGAAGAAGCUGCCAUGGCAGCUCCAGCAAUCCAUGGGGGUAAACGGAAUCCAGUACCUGGGAAAAGUGCCCCAGCUGCUAUUGGGAUGCCUAGUAGAUUAUAACCCAGAGCCCAAAUAUAGUUCAGACGAAUGCGGGAAAAAGUCUUCCUGGAAAGGUCUAUAGCAGUAAUCACAUCCUCCAAGUUGCUCUUCAUCAGAACUAUAUCAGCUGCCUCUAUAGCAAUAUCUGUGCCUGCACCAAUUGCCAUUCCAACAUCUGCUGCUACAAGUGCUGGAGAAUCGUUUAUUCCAUCGCCUACCAUUGCCACCACAUAGCCUGAGGCCUGUAACUCCUUCACUUUCUCUGCUUUCUGCUCAGGUUUGGUUUCUGCCAUGACAGUUUCAAUCCCAACUUCCCUAGCAAUGGAAUUGGCAGUUCCCCAAUUGUCGCCUGUCACCAUUAUGCUCCUGACUUUCAUAGACUUGAGAGUGGAAAUGACUUCACGUGCUCCUGGUUUCAGUGGAUCAGAUAUGGCUAGUACGCCAGUGACUUCUUGAUCUAUAGAUAUUAAAAUCCCAGUUUGAGCCAUCUCUUCAAUUUCUGCAAGCAUCUCUUCAGCAUCAGCUGGAAUGGCAAUGUUGUGAUCGAGCAUUAAACUUCUGUUUCCUACUAUUAAUUCCUUGUUGCGGACAAUAGCUUUCACUCCAUGUCCAGUAACGGAGACAAAAUCUCGUGCCUCUGGCCAAACAGGGGUCUCUUCAUCUUCUCUGAAUUUCUUGGCAUAUUCCACAAUAGCUUUGGCUAAAGGGUGCUCACUGUUUACCUCAGCUGCAGCAACAAAUUCGUAAAAAUCCCGAAGCACCAUAUUUUUGAACAGUUUUGUGUUAACAACCACUGGCUUCCCAACUGUAAGAGUUCCUGUCUUGUCAAACACAAUGCAAUUCACCUUGUGUGCACUUUCUAAUGCUUGGCCACCUUUGAUUAGAACACCCUGAGAUGCGCCAACUCCUGUACCAACCAUGACAGCAGUUGGAGUCGCUAAACCAAGAGCACAUGGGCAGGCUAUGACAAUAACAGAGAUUCCAAAUUGGAGUGCAAGCUGAAAGCUGUCCAUAGAAUUUGGUAUCCAAGAUUCCGGGUAGCCAUGGAACUCUCCAGCUAAAAACCAGGCAAGCCAAGUUGAGAAUGAAAGAAUGAUGACCAGAGGCACAAAGAACUUGGAAAUACGAUCAGCAAAUUUCUGUACAGGAGCUUUAGCCAUCUGUGCUGACUCAACAAGACGAACAAUCUGCGCAAGAGCACUUUCUGAUCCAACCUUUGUUGCCUUAAUAUGCAAUACUCCAUUCUCAUUCACAGUACCUCCAAUCACUGGAUCACCUUUCCUCUUUGCCACUGGUCGCGCUUCUCCUGUUAUCAUGCUUUCAUUGACAUGGCUCUGACCCCAUAUGACAAAACCAUCUGAAGCUACUUUUGCACCAGGGAUGAUUUUAAUCACAUCGUUCUUUUGUAUCAUCCGGCCGUCAAUCUCUUCUUCAUUAAUCACAUUUCCUUCAUCAUCUAGAGUCAAUAAUAUUGCAGUCUCAGGUGCUAAGUCCAUAAGCUUAGCAAUAGCCUCAGAUGUCUUUCCUUUAGCCAAAACCUCUAGAUACUUCCCAAGAAGAAUGAAUGAUAUCAGCAUUGAGCUAGUCUCAAAGAAAUCUGUCCCCGUGAAAUCUGGAGAAGCAGCAGCUCUCAACACAGAGUAGACUGAAUAGAAAUACGCUGCAUUUGUUCCUAAGGCAAUCAGAACAUCCAUGUUAGCAGAAUGAUGCCUUAAUGCUUUGUAUGCCCCAGUAUAGAAUCGUCGGCCAAUGAUGAACUGCACUGGAGUGGAUAGAACCCACCUCAAAAUUGCUCCUAUAGUCAGCAUAUUGACUAUUUUAGUGUCCAAUCCAUGCUUAAUUGCACGGAUGUACAUAAAAACCAUGGAUAUUAAGAAUACAGGAACAGUGAAAACCAAACUCCAAAGGAAGGAUCUGUAAUAUUGCUUAAUUUCCUCUUGUCUAAGGCUUUCUCUUCCUCCUGAUCCUUCAGGAAAGAUCAUGGCCUUGAAUUGUCCCAUCCCAAUUGAUUCAAUCACUUUGAUAAAAUUUCUAGGACCAGUCAUUUCUGGUUUGUAAGAAAGAGAAAACUUGUUGAGUUCAGGGUCUAUGUCUAUACUUUGAACACCAGGAAGUGCUAGAAGAGAAUUUUCAAUCAUUCUCAUUGAAUUGUCUGUCCUUAUACCGUCAACUUUAAGCUGUAUCUUGUACAUGUCUUCACCAGUACUGAUAAGUAUGGCUCCGAAUCCUGUAUCCUCUAUGGCCUGUAAGAGCUGGUUGUAGCUUAGAAUCUUUGGAUCAUAGUGAACUUCUGCUUCUUCAGUUGCUAAGGCCACUUGUGCUUUUUGAACGCCUUGAAUUGCUUGCAGAACUUGCUCAACAGUGAUGGAACAAGAAGUGCAAGUCAUUCCAUUAAUGCGUAUCCGGCAUACCUGAGUGGAUUUAUCACUGGUCUCAUCUUGAAUCAGUGUGGCCUCAAAUCCCGCAUCUUCGAUGGUCUCACGAAUGGUUUCUUCGUUAACGAAACUUGGAUAGAAUAAAACUUGAGUCCGAUUAUUCAAGAAAUCGACGGCAGCCUCGCGAAUACCAGGAAGGCGUUUGACUGCUUUCUCAACGGAUCCAGCACAAGCAGCGCAUGUCAUUCCGAUGACAGAAAACACAGCCUUGGCCUCGGACCCCUGGACGCUAAUUUCUGGCACGGAAACGCCUUUGGGGUACUUGGUCAUGGAGGGAUAGCGAGGUCUGGGAGACAAAUCGCCAUAGCUAUCAUUGCGUAUGCAAGCUAACGCCAGCAACUUGGAGGCCAUGAAAGUGUUCGACCUCGGCCUCUGAGUGUUGUUUUCCCAGCAAAAGGCACAAGAAAAGGGAAGUGAUUUGAAUUAUAGCCUUACAGGUACAAGGU